AGAACGAACGCUGGCGGCAUGCCUAAUACAUGCAAGUCGAACGAACUCUUCGGAGUUAGUGGCGCACGGGUGCGUAACGCGUGGGAAUCUGCCCCUUGGUUCGGAAUAACAGUUGGAAACGACUGCUAAUACCGGAUGAUGACGAAAGUCCAAAGAUUUAUCGCCAAGGGAUGAGCCCGCGUAGGAUUAGCUAGUUGGUGAGGUAAAGGCUCACCAAGGCAACGAUCCUUAGCUGGUCUGAGAGGAUGAUCAGCC
RNAcentral lists this ribosomal RNA (255 nucleotides) under uncultured soil bacterium. Its description in RNAcentral is "partial 16S ribosomal RNA". It matches the Rfam family "Bacterial small subunit ribosomal RNA", at positions 26 to 309 of the family's 1533-position model. The record is from RNAcentral.